This is a long non-coding RNA of Gossypium arboreum, 267 nucleotides long. RefSeq lists it as uncharacterized. The record is from RefSeq and is a predicted model, not a curated record. NCBI's taxonomy places the organism in Eukaryota, Viridiplantae, Streptophyta, Magnoliopsida, Malvales, Malvaceae. The transcript has 2 exons.
CCGAAGAACGAUCAUACGUACGGUUCGCAUCGAUACAAGGUAAUGAUCAAACUUAGGAUUGGAAUUGGCAUGCGGACGUAUGGCAGACUUCAGACUUUACUUCGUCAUAUUAUUUGAACUUAAUUAUAUUUUUAGGUUAUUUUAUUAUUAUUAUUUGGUUUUGGAUUAUAAAGCUUCUUUAAACUGUGGUUUGGGACUGUUCGAGAUUUUGGGGUUUUUCAUGCAUGCAUGACACACAUAUUUGGUAUAAAUACAUGGUUUUUAUAA